Molecule: unclassified non-coding RNA, 329 nt
Filed under: soil metagenome
Description: partial contains 5.8S ribosomal RNA, internal transcribed spacer 2, and large subunit ribosomal RNA
Rfam family: 5.8S ribosomal RNA (bases 1-120)
Source: RNAcentral
GAUGAAGAACGUAGCGAAAUGCGAUAAGUAAUGCGAAUUGCAGAAUUCCGUGAGUCAUCGAAUCUUUGAACGCACAUUGCGCCCUCUGGUAUUCCGGGGGGCAUGCCUGUUCGAGCGUCAUUAUAACCACUCAAGCUCUCGCUUGGUAUUGGAGUUCGCGAUCUCGCGGCUCCUAAAAUCAGUGGCGGUGCCUGUCGGCUCUACGCGUAGUAAUACUCCUCGCGAUUGAGUCCGGUAGGUUUACUUGCCAGCAACCCCCAAUUUUUACAGGUUGACCUCGGAUCAGGUAGGGAUACCCGCUGAACUUAAGCAUAUCAAUAAGCGGAGGA